GGGAGUAAAAGUCGUAACAAGGUUUCCGUAGGUGAACCUGCGGAAGGAUCAUUAUUGUAUAACCGAGGUGCGAGGGCUGUCGCUGACCCGAAAGGUCGUGCACGCCCGAGUGCCCUCCCACACAUCCAUCUCACCCCUAUGUGCACCACCGCGUGGGUCCCCCUUUGGCUUGUUCGGAGGGGGGCUUACGUUUUCACACAAAUUUUGUAUGCAGUGUAGAAUGUAUUUUUUGUUUUUGCGAUCACGCAAUCAAUACAACUUUCAACAACGGAUCUCUUGGCUCUC
RNAcentral lists this unclassified non-coding RNA (285 nucleotides) under plant metagenome. RNAcentral's name for it is "partial contains small subunit ribosomal RNA, internal transcribed spacer 1, and 5.8S ribosomal RNA". The stretch from base 1 to 54 matches the Rfam family "Eukaryotic small subunit ribosomal RNA", at positions 1778 to 1831 of the family's 1831-position model. The record is from RNAcentral.